CUGAAAUUCUCGACGAUUUGACGACA
This 26-nucleotide unclassified non-coding RNA is filed under the name Dictyostelium discoideum. Lineage: Eukaryota; Evosea; Eumycetozoa; Dictyosteliales; Dictyosteliaceae. The record is from RNAcentral.